Molecule: long non-coding RNA, 249 nt
Organism: Magallana angulata
Lineage: Eukaryota; Metazoa; Mollusca; Bivalvia; Ostreida; Ostreidae
Exons: 3
Source: RefSeq, a predicted model, not a curated record
AAUCUCUAUUCGCCACUCGUUUUGGCAGAAUGCCCGUCCGCCCACCACGUGCACCGAUACCAAACAUUUGUCCGUUGACAUAUGAUUGUCCAUUUAGCAGCCAACUAUGUUCGAUGUUGUUAAGGACAUGUACUCCUAUCUACCACCGACCGAUUGGUAUCCAAACGUGCGACUGUGGUUUCUCGCCAGGUCUUGGAAGUGCUGGUCGCAGAAGAGACCAAGAUUUGCUGUAAAGACAAACGUUUGAGA